GAGUUUGAUCAUGGCUCAGAUUGAACGCUGGCGGCAGGCCUAAGACAUGCAGGGCGAGCGGAUGACAGGAGCUUGCUCCUGAAUUCAGCGGCGGACGGGUGAGUAAUGCCUAGGAAUCUGCCUGGUAGUGGGGGACAACGUUUCGAAAGGAACGCUAAUACCGCAUACGUCCUACGGGAGAAAGCAGGGGACCUUCGGGCCUUGCGCUAUCAGAUGAGCCUACGUCGGAUUAGCUAGUUGGUGAGGUAAUGGCUCACCAAGGUGACGAUCCGUAACUGGUCUGAGAGGAUGAUCAGUCACACUGGAACUGAGACA
RNAcentral lists this ribosomal RNA (315 nucleotides) under uncultured bacterium. RNAcentral's name for it is "bacterial SSU rRNA". It matches the Rfam family "Bacterial small subunit ribosomal RNA", at positions 9 to 326 of the family's 1533-position model. The record is from RNAcentral.